RNAcentral lists this ribosomal RNA (182 nucleotides) under uncultured bacterium. RNAcentral's name for it is "partial 16S ribosomal RNA". It matches the Rfam family "Bacterial small subunit ribosomal RNA", at positions 318 to 517 of the family's 1533-position model. The record is from RNAcentral.
CCAGCAGCCGCGGUAAUACUCCUACGGGAGGCAGCAGUGGGGAAUCUUAGACAAUGGGCGCAAGCCUGAUCUAGCCAUGCCGCGUGAGCGAUGAAGGCCUUAGGGUUGUAAAGCUCUUUCAGUGGGGAAGAUGAUGACUGUACCCACAGAAGAAGCCCCGGCUAACUCCGUGCCAGCAGCCG